GCCAGGCUUGGUGGUGGAUGCCUGUAAUUCCAGCGGCUCAGGAGGCUGAGGCAGGAGGAUUGUGAGUUCAAAGCCAGCCUCAGCAACAGUGAAGCACUUAGAAACUCAGUGAGAUCUUGUCUCUA
RNAcentral lists this small RNA (125 nucleotides) under Marmota monax (woodchuck). Lineage: Eukaryota; Metazoa; Chordata; Mammalia; Rodentia; Sciuridae. The record is from RNAcentral.